RNAcentral lists this ribosomal RNA (462 nucleotides) under uncultured bacterium. RNAcentral's name for it is "bacterial SSU rRNA". It matches the Rfam family "Bacterial small subunit ribosomal RNA", at positions 9 to 472 of the family's 1533-position model. The record is from RNAcentral.
GAGUUGAUCUUGGCUCAGAUUGAACGCUGGCGGCAGGCCUAACACAUGCAAGUCGGGCGGUAGAGAGAAGCUUGCUUCUCUUGAGAGCGGCGGACGGGUGAGUAAUGCCUAGGAAUCUGCCUGGUAGUGGGGGAUAACGCUCGGAAACGGACGCUAAUACCGCAUACGUCCUACGGGAGAAAGCAGGGGACCUUCGGGCCUUGCGCUAUCAGAUGAGCCUAGGUCGGAUUAGCUAGUUGGUGAGGUAAUGGCUCACCAAGGCGACGAUCCGUAACUGGUCUGAGAGGAUGAUCAGUCACACUGGAACUGAGACACGGUCCAGACUCCUACGGGAGGCAGCAGUGGGGAAUAUUGGACAAUGGGCGAAAGCCUGAUCCAGCCAUGCCGCGUGUGUGAAGAAGGUCUUCGGAUUGUAAAGACACUUUAAGUUGGGAGGAAGGGCAGUAAAUUAAUACUUUGCUG